GAACGGAGAGUCGCUAUGACAGUCCGCAGGUUCACCGCAGGAUUUCCCGAGGAUUUCGUGCUGGGCUUGGCACGGCCUCGGCGUCCGUGCACUUUGCCGCUUUGUAAUUGGUCCGCGCUUGAUGACUCUUAAUUGAUCGGGCUCUUGUGCUGGGGGACAGCUCCACGAGCACGUGAGCAAAAGGCGUCAACAAUCCGGCGAUGUCUUGCAAACGAGAAAGAGAAAUCCCUUUGUGUUUAGUUGUGGCAACGGUUUAUUUUUGCGCGUUUCGGGUUUGUCAUUCGGUGGGUUUGGGACAGUCGGGGGAUGGUUUCAGUACUUACCAACUUCAGCAGUCAACGGACACCGGGCGGGAAAAGAUUAAGCAAGACGACGACGACGACGACGUCCUGCGGGGGGGUUGGAACUCGGUUGAACAGGUCAUCCAGGGCGCAAAUCCGCGCAGAACCAAGGAACCGGGUCUCCAGGGGCCUCGGACGGAAUCCGCCGGCUUUCCCGCUGAGCCACUCCCGUAUUUCGUUGUGCCGAAACUUGAUGAAACUGGAAGCGACUUUGCGCCCAGCAGCUUGUCUUGGACCGUUGGUAAUAUCAGCACGGUGCUAAGGGCCCCAGCUUCACACUCCGAAGACAGAUAUCAAGCAGAUUUUACAGGUUUCCGUGGAGUCCAGGGGAAGGUUUUGGGUCCAUCAUUUGACUCCAGUCCACAUUUCUCUGAGUGGCUGGCUAUGAGGCCUUUGGUGCAGUGUGACGAGAAUGUCAUGACCUUCACUGCCUCAGGACAAGGAGUGACACACCUGUUAGUGGCCAGAGAGGGAGCGUCUCCCAUCUCUCUGUUCCAGUUACCUCCAUACUGUGGGUACUCAGUGAGGACAUCAUGGAGUGACCUUGAGAUGAUGGUGCCUUAUGACGCAUGUUACAUUACGCAGGAGAAUGACAGUUAUGUGUUGCCCAUGUUGUGGUGGGGCAGCCCUCUGAAGCUCUCCUGCCCGGUGCAGAUGUCCACUCCUGCCCCUUCUUUCUCCCUCUCUGCCCCUUCAGUCUUCUGCGCCCCCCAAGGCAUGGCAGUGCAGAUAUCUGGGCAGGAGCAGGCUAUACCACUGCUGGGAGUCAUAGUGAAUGGAGGCUGGGGUCCAUUUGUAUCUGAUGAGUGCGCGCAUCGUCUCCACUCCCAACCUGACCAGCUUAUCUUCUUCAUCCCAUACAGUGUUGCUUGCGUCACUAGUGGUGAGGGGCUGCAUCUCCAUCUUAUAUUAGAUGAAGAGGAAUAUAUCCUCUCCUGUCCAGUCAAUCCUCAGUUUCCGUAUGUCCCAGAUCCUGUCAGCCCUGCACCGACCUCCCCUCCCCCUCCCCCUCCUCAGCCUCCAACCAAGGAGCAGAUUGCUCAACUUCCAGACUACCCUUACUACCCGUACCCUGGGAUCCAGUACCCCCAGCUUCCCCAAGUCUACCCUCCUGGCCCACAACCUGUCCAUCUCCCCCAGCCCACUCCAGGCAGUCCUCCUGGGCCGCAGCAGCAGCCUCUCAACCCCACAGGGUUGGGCAAGUUGCCCGACUCUCCUGGAGAGCACCCAAAAUACCCUUCCCCUCCUUACCAGCCCCCUGUGGUGGUACAAGGUACAUCUAUCCCAAAUCUUAACCCAGCGCAGGAUAGUCAUUCCCAUCAAGUUUCUAAAUUACCUCUUGGCCCUUCUCAAUAUCUGUCUGGUCUGUACUACCCCCAUGUGUCAUUGUACUACCCUGCAGUGACAACGGAUCUGAACCCUGCAGCUGAAAAAACUACUACUACUGUUCCUCCAGCUACCCAGCCAUCCAGACCACCAGCAAGUCCUUAUUACCUUCAGUAUUAUCUUCAGAUGCCUUACGAUCCUGCACUCACUGCAGUACAAGUGACCCAAGCACCUGCUCCUCUCCCUCUCAGCCCAUCUUCUCCUCCUAGCUCCUUUCCACCAAAACAACCUGUGGGUCCACAGUACCAAGUCGAUGCAUAUUAUCCACCUGCUUUUUACAGCUCUUACUAUCCUUAUGGGCGAGUUUUCUACCCAGAAUCUGGUCUUGAGGAACAACCACCAUCUGCCUUACAUCCUACUACUGCUCGACCUCCUACCACCAAAACUACUACAAGGAUGGUGGUUCCCAAACAACCUGUCAGUCCCAGCCAUCCCUCUGCCCAUUUUUACCCCCAAAGACCCAUUUACUUCCAGCCGCCCACACCUCAGCCGCUUCCCAAAGAGAAACCUCCAAUCAUUCCUCAGGAACCUCAGAAACCAGCUGCUCCACAAGCCACCUGCCCCCCUUACACUCACACCAUUUGUGGCUACUACUCUUACCCCUAUUAUCCUUAUUAUCAUCCUCUCUACCCACCACACUACCAUCCAACUUACCCUCCUGUGCCCCAGUAUCCAGAGAUUCAACCACCGAUGACCACAAAAAAGCCUUUCACCACCACCACCACCACCACUACUACUCCAACUCCCACCAGUACCACAAUGUCCACCCCAGCUCAGCCCACUACACAGAUGCCCCAUCUCCAGUGUCUGAUGGGGAGGAUGGUUGUCUUCCUGCCUUUUGCUCACCCACACUCCAUCCAGGUCAGAGACCAAAUGAAGACAUGGCUGUUCCUCUCCAAUGUGUCUCCACUGUGUGGUUACAUGCUACAGAUGGCUGAGGGCUCUGGGGUAAUCCUUCACUCUCCUCUGCCCGCCUGCCACAGCCAGCCACGGACUCUCACAACCAUAUACUUACCUCUGAGGUUUUGGGACCUGUCCAUGGCGCAGUAUAGAUAUCUGGAACUCCAAUGCCCUUAUGAAAGUAUCCCGGAAACUCCUGCACCAGUUACCCCACCUGUCUCCCCCACUCCACCCAGCACCACCCUAACUCUUGUCCCGAAGCCAAGAGUCGUCUGCUCCUCCCAUCAGAUGACUGUGAAGCUCCCCCCUGGUCCCAUCUCUGGAAUUCUUCUUAAAGACAUCCAAGGAAACCAGAUGAACCUCCAGGAUGCUCCAAAGCACUGUGGGUAUUCUGCAAGCAAAAGCAAAGAUGGCAAAAUCCAUUUAAGUCUCAGGUUACACUCACGCUGCCACAUGAGCGUGCAGGGUAAAAUGUACAUCAUCGCUGUUGUCUACAUGACAGUAUAUGGGAGAAGGGAGGCACAGUUUUCUUGUCCAGUAGUCAUCCCAGGUUCCGGACAAGAGUGCACCCUUCCUAACGAACAGCGUCUCCCCUGUGGACCCGUGUCUGUAUCCCAGCCACAGUGCUUCUCCAUGGGCUGCUGCUUCAGCAAGCAUCCCCCUGCCUGCUACUACCCCAUGGAUGAGUGCACUAUUGACCGCCACUUUGUCUUCUCCGUGCCUGCCUCCCUCACGGAGCCCCCUCUUUCCCCUGCCCUGCUUGUCGCUGCCAGCAACUCCACCUGCAAACCUCAGAGAGUGACUUCUGACUAUGCAUUGUUCAAGAUCCCAAUGGAUGGCUGCGGUGCACGCAGAGUGAUGGUGGGGAAAACGGUGAUCUACAUGGUGGAGGUCAUCAACAAGGUUCAGGCAAUCAGCCUCAACUAUGGCACCAUCACAAGAGAUUCUCCUGUAAGGUUGGUGGUGGAGUGCCGGUUUCUGCCGGGCAGUGUCCUGACUGUUAGCUACCUCGUUAAAACUCCCACCCUUGGACCCGGAGUUCAGACCCAGGGGGUGUUUGGAGUCCAGCUCAGGAUUGCCAAAGACGCUAAGUACAGCAGCUACUACCCUCAGUAUCACCAGCCCUUGCAGAUGCUGCUGGGGAAACUCCUCUACCUGGAAGUGCGGCUGCUUAAUGCACCAGAUCCCAGUUUGGUGUUGCUGGUGCACUUCUGUGUGGCCUACCCCCGCUCUGGAAAAUCUGUGUGGGUGCUGCUUUACAAUGGAUGUCCCAACCCGUUGGAUCCAGCCCCGCAGCAGGUUGUGCUGUCUGAUCCUCGACCACCCUUUCCCCAGGGUCAGAUCCGCCGCUUCACCAUCAGCACCUUCCAGUUCCUUCCUGAUGGUGAGUUCAAGGACCCAGAUGAAGAGAUCUACUUCAUGUGUUCAACAGAAAUCUGUUCACCACAUGAUGGACCUUGUGUUGAGGGAUGCUUUGGCCAGUGACGUUACGACAUGGAAAAUGCUUGAAGUUGGUUGAGACGGAGAUGAUGAUUAUGAUGAUCUGGCCGCAGACAACACCAAUAAAAGCUUUUAGGGGACA
Molecule: RNA transcript, 4209 nt
Organism: Xiphias gladius (swordfish)
Lineage: Eukaryota; Metazoa; Chordata; Actinopteri; Istiophoriformes; Xiphiidae
Exons: 19
Source: RefSeq, a predicted model, not a curated record